AUUGAACGCUGGCGGCAUGCCUUACACAUGCAAGUCGAACGGCAGCACGGGAGCAAUCCUGGUGGCGAGUGGCGGACGGGUGAGUAAAGUAUCGGAACGUGCCCAGUCGUGGGGGAUAACGUAGCGAAAGUUACGCUAAUACCGCAUACGAUCUAUGGAUGAAAGCGGGGGAUCGCAAGACCUCGCGCGAUUGGAGCGGCCGAUAUCAGAUUAGGUAGUUGGUGGGGUAAAGGCUCACCAAGCCGACGAUCCGUAGCUGGUCUGAGAGGACGACCAGCCACACUGGGACUGAGACACGGCCCAGCCUCCGACGGGAGGCAGCAGUGGGGAAUUUUGGACAAUGGGCGAAAGCCUGAUCCAGCCAUGCCGCGUGCAGGAUGAAGGCCUUCGGGUUGUAAACUGCUUUUGUACGGAACGAAAAGGUUUGGGCUAAUAAGCUGAGCUCAUGACGGUACCGUAAGAAUAAGCACCGGCUAACUACGUGCCAGCCGCCGCCGUAA
Molecule: ribosomal RNA, 500 nt
Filed under: uncultured bacterium
Lineage: Bacteria
Description: partial 16S ribosomal RNA
Rfam family: Bacterial small subunit ribosomal RNA
Source: RNAcentral